GGGGGCAUAGCUCAGUGGUUAGAGCAGUCGGCUCAUAACUGAUUGGUCCUUGGUUCAAGUCCAAGUGCCCCCACCA
This 76-nucleotide transfer RNA is filed under the name Candidatus Saccharimonadota bacterium. RNAcentral's name for it is "tRNA-Ile". It matches the Rfam family "tRNA". From Rfam's summary of the family: Transfer RNA (tRNA) molecules are approximately 80 nucleotides in length. Their secondary structure includes four short double-helical elements and three loops (D, anti-codon, and T loops). Further hydrogen bonds mediate the characteristic L-shaped molecular structure. tRNAs have two regions of fundamental functional importance: the anti-codon, which is responsible for specific mRNA codon recognition, and the 3' end, to which the tRNAs corresponding amino acid is attached (by aminoacyl-tRNA synthetases). tRNAs cope with the degeneracy of the genetic code in two manners: having more than one tRNA (with a specific anti-codon) for a particular amino acid; and 'wobble' base-pairing, i.e. permitting non-standard base-pairing at the 3rd anti-codon position. RNAcentral also lists the same sequence under 3 other names. Lineage: Bacteria; Candidatus Saccharimonadota. The record is from RNAcentral.